UGUCGCUCGGGGCCCGGCGGUUGGAAAGAACCGCGGCGCUCCAACCAGGGAGCUCUCGACCUAGGACCCUCUGAGAUGGGAGACAUCCCAGCGUGCCUGGUGACAUCUACACGCCCCGACGUGUGUAGCGAGCAGCCGUCACAGCUCUGAGGCCCUGGAGUAGAAGAUGCCUCUGGAAGUACAGGGGUGCCUUUCAAAUACCAUCGAAAUGUUUCCACAACAAUCUAAAAAUACUAGACAUAAAUAAAGUGAGAAAAACCUCCUGA
This is a long non-coding RNA of Mastomys coucha (southern multimammate mouse), 266 nucleotides long. RefSeq lists it as uncharacterized. The record is from RefSeq and is a predicted model, not a curated record. NCBI's taxonomy places the organism in Eukaryota, Metazoa, Chordata, Mammalia, Rodentia, Muridae. The transcript is spliced from 2 exons.